ACUAAGUGCUGAAGUGUUUCAUGAAGGGAGCAUUAUUAUGUGCAUUAUUUAUUUUCAAUAUGCACAACUGAGUAAUAGUAUGAUAGAUAGGUUGAGCGUUUGAAGUAAUGCAUUUCAGGUAUAGAAGUCACUGAAUAUAACUUUUGCGACUCCCGAAACUGGAAUUUCCGAGUGCCCCUGAAUGCAACAAUGAUGCUGGGAUUUCCAAGUGCCCCUGAAUGCAGCCAUUACACAGCUGAACCGUAUUACCGUGAGUUGUCUGUCCAUCUUUGGUCUGCGGUGUUUUUGGGUGAGUGCACUUAAUUUUUUUUAACGGUAAAAAUACAACUUAGGUGGUUUAAAAGACAUACAACCGGCUUCUUGUUUAUAUGUAACUCAAAAAUUGAAAAUGAAAAUUUAACCCUUCUGACAUGGCAAAGACGGAACGACUUGUGGUGAGCUCAUUGCAACGUUGUUAAUGUCGACCGCUAAGCUAACGGUACCAUGUUAACUGAAGAUUUAAUGGAUAAACAUAAUGCAGCGCUAAAGGUGACUUUAGAGAGUAAUUCACAUGGCAGCAUAAGUGGUAAAUGGGAGUUGAAACAGCUAACUUAUUGCUCUCUCCCAUAACAUCAUUUCUGCUGGCUACAGCACAAGCCAUACUCCUGCAUAAGGUAAUGAGGUAAUGUGCGUGCAGGCCAUGAUUAACAGAUACUACUCGAAAAUGUCUGACUCUUAAAGUAUCAAGACUACUCUUGUGUUUUUAUGAUAGCUCUUGCUAAUUGACAGUUACAAGAAAAAAUAUUUACGGGCAAACUGGUGCUGAGGGGGAGCAGAAUUUUUCCAGCUAUAUAUUUACCUUAUUUUCAUGUUGUUUUUUUUUAAAUAAUGGCACGUUGUAUGGUAACUGCAGUGACUCAUUGCAUAUUUACACAUGUACAGCAGAUAUUAAAAUAUUGUUUCCUCUCAGACACAGAAUGUUGAUCCUGCCCUGUGCUUUACUUCUCCUGGCUCCAGCAGUGCGUGCAGCUGAGGUGCAUCAUCUCAUCAGCGGCUUCUGAGGUACCACACAGCUGAGGCAGGUUACCUAUCACCGACGGCAGUACUUAAGACGCUGGCGCACAAUCCCUCAUCGCCGCGAUCUGCACCUCUGACUCUCUCCGUUCUGCCUCUGCCCUAGUGACUUGCUG
This is a long non-coding RNA of Monopterus albus (swamp eel), 1169 nucleotides long. RefSeq lists it as uncharacterized. NCBI's taxonomy places the organism in Eukaryota, Metazoa, Chordata, Actinopteri, Synbranchiformes, Synbranchidae. The record is from RefSeq and is a predicted model, not a curated record. The transcript is spliced from 3 exons.